UGGGGAAUAUUGGACAAUGGGCGCAAGCCUGAUCCAGCCAUGCCGCGUGAGUGAUGAAGGCCCUAGGGUUGUAAAGCUCUUCACCGGUGAAGAUAAUGACGGUAACCGGAGAAGAAGCCCCGGCUAACUUCGUGCCAGCAGCCGCGGUAAUACGAAGGGGGCUAGCGUUGUUCGGAUUUACUGGGCGUAAAGCGCACGUAGGCGGACUUUUAAGUCAGGGGUGAAAUCCCGGGGCUCAACCCCGGAACUGCCUUUGAUACUGGAAGUCUUGAGUAUGGUAGAGGUGAGUGGAAUUCCGAGUGUAGAGGUGAAAUUCGUAGAUAUUCGGAGGAACACCAGUGGCGAAGGCGGCUCACUGGACCAUUACUGACGCUGAGGUGCGAAAGCGUGGGGAGCAAACAGG
Molecule: ribosomal RNA, 403 nt
Filed under: Actinomycetes bacterium
Lineage: Bacteria; Bacillati; Actinomycetota; Actinomycetes
Description: Actinobacteria bacterium partial 16S ribosomal RNA
Rfam family: Bacterial small subunit ribosomal RNA
Source: RNAcentral